AUUGAACGCUGGCGGCAGGCCUAACACAUGCAAGUCGAACGGUAACAGGAAGCAGCUUGCUGCUUUGCUGACGAGUGGCGGACGGGUGAGUAAUGUCUGGGAAACUGCCCGAUGGAGGGGGAUAACUACUGGAAACGGUAGCUAAUACCGCAUAACGUCGCAAGACCAAAGAGGGGGACCUUAGGGCCUCUUGCCAUCGGAUGUGCCCAGAUGGGAUUAGCUAGUAGGUGGGGUAACGGCUCACCUAGGCGGCGAUCUCUAGCUGGUCUGAGAGGAUGACCAGCCACACUGGAACUGAGACACGGUCCAGACUCCUACGGGAGGCAGCAGUGGGGAAUAUUGCACAAUGGGCGCAAGCCUGAUGCAGCCAUGCCGCGUGUAUGAAGAAGGCCUUCGGGUUGUAAAGUACUUUCAGCGGGGAGGAAGGGAGUAAAGUUAAUACCUUUGCUCAUUGACGUUACCCGCUGAAGAAGCACCGGCUAACUCCGUG
This 490-nucleotide ribosomal RNA is filed under the name uncultured bacterium. RNAcentral describes it as "partial 16S ribosomal RNA". It matches the Rfam family "Bacterial small subunit ribosomal RNA", at positions 30 to 507 of the family's 1533-position model. The record is from RNAcentral.